This 465-nucleotide ribosomal RNA is filed under the name uncultured bacterium. RNAcentral describes it as "partial 16S ribosomal RNA". It matches the Rfam family "Bacterial small subunit ribosomal RNA", at positions 28 to 507 of the family's 1533-position model. The record is from RNAcentral.
GACGAACGCUGGCGGCGUGCUUAACACAUGCAAGUCGAACGGAAAGGCCCUGCUUGCAGGGUACUCGAGUGGCGAACGGGUGAGUAACACGUGGGUGAUCUGCCCUGCACUUCGGGAUAAGUCUGGGAAACUGGGUCUAAUACCGGAUAGGAGCCAUUUUUAGUGUGAUGGUUGGAAAGUUUUUUCGGUGUAGGAUGAGCUCGCGGCCUAUCAGCUUGUUGGUGGGGUAAUGGCCUACCAAGGCGGCGACGGGUAGCCGGCCUGAGAGGGUGGACGGCCACAUUGGGACUGAGAUACGGCCCAGACUCCUACGGGAGGCAGCAGUGGGGAAUAUUGCACAAUGGGCGCAAGCCUGAUGCAGCGACGCCGCGUGGGGGAUGACGGCCUUCGGGUUGUAAACUCCUUUCGCUAGGGACGAAGCUUUUUGUGACGGUACCUAGAGAAGAAGCACCGGCUAACUACGUG